RNAcentral lists this ribosomal RNA (572 nucleotides) under Pseudomonas sp. PCY21. Its description in RNAcentral is "bacterial SSU rRNA". It matches the Rfam family "Bacterial small subunit ribosomal RNA", at positions 8 to 569 of the family's 1533-position model. The record is from RNAcentral. Lineage: Bacteria; Pseudomonadati; Pseudomonadota; Gammaproteobacteria; Pseudomonadales; Pseudomonadaceae.
AGAGUUUGAUCCUGGCUCAGAUUGAACGCUGGCGGCAGGCCUAACACAUGCAAGUCGAGCGGCAGCACGGGUACUUGUACCUGGUGGCGAGCGGCGGACGGGUGAGUAAUGCCUAGGAAUCUGCCUGGUAGUGGGGGACAACGUUCGGAAACGGACGCUAAUACCGCAUACGUCCUACGGGAGAAAGUGGGGGAUCUUCGGACCUCACGCUAUCAGAUGAGCCUAGGUCGGAUUAGCUAGUUGGUGAGGUAAUGGCUCACCAAGGCGACGAUCCGUAACUGGUCUGAGAGGAUGAUCAGUCACACUGGAACUGAGACACGGUCCAGACUCCUACGGGAGGCAGCAGUGGGGAAUAUUGGACAAUGGGCGAAAGCCUGAUCCAGCCAUGCCGCGUGUGUGAAGAAGGUCUUCGGAUUGUAAAGCACUUUAAGUUGGGAGGAAGGGCAUUAACCUAAUACGUUGGUGUUUUGACGUUACCGACAGAAUAAGCACCGGCUAACUCUGUGCCAGCAGCCCGCGGUAAUACAGAGGGGUGCAAGCGUUUAAUCCGGAAUUACUGGGCGUAAAGCGCC